GCGCACGAUUUUAGUUAAAAAGUUUUAGAAAAAUCUUGCAUUCAUUCCUAGGGUCCAAUGAAAAACAAUGAGACAGGUGAGUACGAUCAGCCAACCUACUUGUUUCGGGAAAAACAUGGGAAAUGUGGUCCCAUAAGCUUCUGUACUGGUUAGUGGAGCAAAAUGGACACAGCUUUGCUAGAUUCUUUGUGAGAUGAUAGUUUACGACAAUAAAUAUUCAAAAUUUUGAGUUGUGUCGUUAUCCGACGAUACAAUGGUCACUUCUUCACAAUGCACUUCGUUUGGAGAUAAACACUUUGGCGAUACGCUGCAGUUUCCAAGGAAUCACACGGAUUCUUGCAAAGCUGUGAAUUGACUUUCACUGUCUUCCAGCAGACUAUUUUACUACCGGAGACACCCGACUUUGCAAUCUUCAUGUUAAUUACGAGCGGAAUCUGUACGCGGCCGUAGUCACAGGAAGCUGAGGUCUAUACCGGGUGCGCUUGAAGCUUCCAAUGCCGAACUUGAGUGAAACAUACCAGCACGAGAACAUGAAGAAGAAACUGCUGUUGCUGGACUACUGCUGCUGUUGGGACCACUGUUGCUGCUGGGACUAUUACUACUGCUGCUGGGACUGCUGCCGAACUGUUGCCUCCAAGCAGUUUCGUGGAAACUCUAGGAACAACUAUUACAACAUGAUCCAAUGAUCAACUGGAAGGCUCAGAAAUAUUGAAACGGAUAGGUAAAAUUGCUCCAGCGGGAGA
This is a long non-coding RNA of Wyeomyia smithii (pitcher-plant mosquito), 743 nucleotides long. RefSeq lists it as uncharacterized. Lineage: Eukaryota; Metazoa; Arthropoda; Insecta; Diptera; Culicidae. The record is from RefSeq and is a predicted model, not a curated record. The transcript has 3 exons.